GACGUAGGGCGCGAGCGUUGUCCGGAUUUAUUGGGCGUAAAGAGCUCGUAGGCGGCUUGUCGCGUCGACUGUGAAAACCCAUGGCUCAACCAUGUGGUCUGCAGUCGAUACGGGCAGGCUAGAAUUCGGUAGGGGAGACUGGAAUUCCUGGUGUAGCGGUGAAAUGCGCAGAUAUCAGGAGGAACACCGAUGGCGAAGGCGGCAUCCUGGACCGAAAUUGACGCUGAGGCGCGAAAGCCAGGGGAGCGAACGGG
RNAcentral lists this ribosomal RNA (254 nucleotides) under uncultured bacterium. RNAcentral describes it as "partial 16S ribosomal RNA". It matches the Rfam family "Bacterial small subunit ribosomal RNA", at positions 524 to 776 of the family's 1533-position model. The record is from RNAcentral.